This is a non-coding RNA of Paramuricea clavata, 1271 nucleotides long. Lineage: Eukaryota; Metazoa; Cnidaria; Anthozoa; Malacalcyonacea; Plexauridae. The record is from the annotation of a GenBank genome assembly.
GAGAAAACAAUACAUUUAUCUAAAUCCUCGUGUAUUCAGCCACUUAAAAGCGAAAGAGUUAAAGCUUAAACAGAUAUUGUAAAAUCAAUGUUUUUCCAUUUAGAAGAAGGUUUAACUGCAGCAGUGAAAACAAGUCACGAAUAUAUUCUCUUCCAUUUGUGUCAGACAGUUUUCACUGCAUGAUAUAAAUAUUGUAAACAACGUAGAAGUCUGUGUUUAGAAACACUUUUUUCAAGCAUAUUAUCGUGAAACGACCAGAAAAAGUACAAAAAUAUAAAAAUAACAUACCUUUUCCAUUGUCCUUUUAGUAGAAAAACGUUGAUUAAAUCAAAACAGAUUCGUUUUUAUGUCUUUUGGAGUCGGACCUUCACAUGAACCUGUCGUUGUCAGAAGCAACUGAAUUUGUCAAAGCCAGGCUUAAAACUUUUUAAUUUUAUCCAAAGCUUCACUGCUACCAUAUUCAUACAUGUAAAUUUUUAUUGAAACUAUACGUCCUUUUGUCUGUUUCUUGCCAGUUUUCUCGAAUUUUCGUAUUCUUGUUCUAUAUCUUUCAAGUUUCAACUCUUCAAUUUUUGUCAACCUCGCAUUAAAAAUAAACAACUGCGCUGAUCUCAAAGUAGCUCGCAAGCAACACUGGGAUUUUAAUGAAUUUAAUUUUUACAUCUGAUAAAAAAUAAACACGUUAUUUACCGGCAGCGUCGGUCCGGAUGAGAAAAACUGUGCCCUCGGUGUUGAAAACUUUCAAGACCUCGGCCACAAGUAGAAAGUGUUCUCCAGUUUGUAUUUCAUAAUUUCCAUACCCAGCGUAAGCAGAAAGAUAAAGUCUGCCGCGGCUGGGUCUUGAACCCGCGACCUUCGAAUUACUAGAUCGACGCUCUACCAACUGAGCUACACGGUCAGACGGAUUUAACACUGGAAAUUAUGAACUAUAUACUGAAUGUCAUAAACAUACUCAUUUUCUGAAACCAGCUCAGGUAUACAUAGUCCAAUUGUCCAGCUCUCAGAUGGUUAAGGCGCUCCAACUCAAUCCCAAAGCCGCAGGUUCGAUUACCGCAAGAGGGCACAUGGUUGCAUUUUUCCCAGCUGCACCUGGUUAGGUCUAAAAUGUACAGUAUAAUGUAAUCUUGAACUCGAAAAAAUUCUUGAACUACUUAUCAGUAAUUUGAAUUAUAAACUAUUGAUAUAUUUAAUUAGAAAGACUAUAGUACUUAAUUUAAAUAAACCACAUACCUAAACGACAAAGUGUCAAUGUGUCAUUAUCAACCACUGGC